Molecule: non-coding RNA, 4760 nt
Organism: Cherax quadricarinatus
Lineage: Eukaryota; Metazoa; Arthropoda; Malacostraca; Decapoda; Parastacidae
Source: RefSeq, a predicted model, not a curated record
UGUGUAUACACCUGCAUUUCAUUUAUCCUCCAUUGCAUCCAAGACCAUGUCAUAGUGGUCCAGUAGUUAAGAGGCAGGAGUGACCUGCUCUAAACCCAUGAUCCUCUGGGUUGUGCAAGUGUUGGGUGUCCAGGUGGUGUCUCCAGCGGAGAGAGGGUGACCCGAAGAAGAAACACUUUCACCAUCAUUCCCACUAUCACUGUUUUGUCAAAGGUUACCCUGCCUAGGUGGGAGAUGGCAGCUGUACACAAAUUACCCGCACAUAAAAGAGAGAAGCUUACGACGACGUUUCGGUCCGACUUGGACCAUUGACAAAGUCACACAGCUGUGUUAAAAAAAAAUUAAUCUUGUCAAUAGCUAUAAAUAUGAAAAGAUGAAUGUUAAUAUACACUAGCAAGUUACAUAUUUACAGUAAACGAUCUCAAAUUGUCUAAUUAUAUCAAAAAUAAUUCUUCAGACCAGUAUAAUUUAAAGCCUGGAAAACAUUACCAUCAUAAUUUGGUGGUUGAAUGUCUGCUACCCGACAACCCAGCCUUCACUGUAAACAACAUGUCAAUAGUUUCCAACUCCUGAAACGAUGAGGUGUUUUCUCUGCAGCCAUCUAUUACCUUCCCAUUUUAAAAUUUUGGUUACAUUAAGUGUAGUUAAUAAUAUUGUAUAUUAAUUACAGUUCAAGAAUGGUAACUUAGACUAAAACAACUAACUACUUUUAUUCUGGGCUUAGAUUGUGCAAAAACUUAUACAGUUGACCCCCGCUUAACGAUCACCUCCAAAUGCGACCAAUUAUGUAAGUGUAUUUAUGUAAGUGCGUUUGUACAUGUAUGUUUGGGGGUCUGAAAUGGACUAAUCUACUUCACAAUAUUCCUUAUGGGAAAAAAUUCGGUCAGUACUGGCACCUGAACAUACUACUGGAAUGAAAAAAGUUCGUUAACCGGGGGUCCACUGUAUACUGUAAAAAGCUGGAAAAUAAAUUCACUAGUGUUUGGAGGAAGGAUUGUACCUUCAUCAACAGUGUCUACAAACAUCAUUACAUCAGCAAAGAGAGUAAUAUGAAACAGUCUACCACCUGAAUCCGUCAAAACUAAGAUUGUGCUGCAGUUCAAAAUUUACCUGGCCAACUCCAUUAAGCACAGCAUGUGAAUCAUCACAAGCAAGUCAAAAUUUGGCGUCCACCUCGAAUCCACUGGAAACAGUGCAAGUAAAGUAACUACAGUAUUUAGCAGCAGUGAAUUAUAAAAAGUACAAUAAUCUCACCUGCUUUCAUCAAGACCUUCUUCACCAUGUAAAUCAUAUUUCUUUCUUAGCUCUUCAUCCUUGAGAACUUCAUAAGCACGAUUAAUUUGAACAAAUUUCUCAUGUGCUUCGGGAUCAUCCUAAAGGAAAUAUUAAUAUGAUAAAUGUUUACACUGCAUAAAACAUGCAUAUAAAUUGCACAUAAAUACGAAGAAAAAAGAAGAGAUGUUAGAAGAGUGGUUGGGGGAUGUAAAAGAAGAGCCACUCAGAGAGUGGGUAAGGCUUGAUUAACAAAUUUUGCUGAGAAUCAGAAAAAAGUUUUGGAGAAAGAUUGAGAAUGCCUAGAUAAACAAAUCUGUCAGCUAAAAGCAAAAGAGGGGAAAUGCAGCAAUGCUCCAUCCUUCUUAAGUGGAUGUGAUUUGGACUUGCCUAGCAUGAGCCAGUAUCAAACCAUACCCCGGCCGGGAUUGAACCCCCGGUCAGAGUCUCAAAACUCCAGACCGUCGCGUUAGCCACUAGACCAGCUAGCAACAAUAAGAUUCGUCCAACUAGGUAUAUUUCUACACCAUAGGAAGGUUAGCACAGGCACCACUGUGACCACAAAUGCAAGUUUUUACAGACGAAUCUCCAGCUAGCGUGGCCGUGACGAACUCUAGCUCAAGUCCCUUCACUGCCGUCAACAUGACUCACGAAAUCGUAUUGUGGCUAGCUGGUCUAGUGGCUAACACGACGGGCUGGAGUUUUGAGACUCUCUGACCGCGGGUUCAAUCCCGGCCGGGGUAUGGUUUGUUUGCAAUCGUGUCAUUACGAUUUCGUGAGUCAUGAGCCAGUAUGCCUGCUGCAGUGCUCCUUCUUUCUUAUGUUAGAUGGAGAAAUGAAAGAACUGAGAUUAUAGUGGGAAUUUUUUGAAGAGCUGUAAGUGUAGAUGAAGACAGGGAGGCAGCGGUUUCAAGCACUGGGAAGGAAGGUAUGAACUAUGUCUUAAAGGGAUAAAGAAGAGCCAGAUGUGAGUGUGGGAAAGGUAUGCGAGUCAAUGGGUAGAAUGAAAGGGAGUAAAGCAGCUGGGACAGAUUGGAUUAAAACAGAGAUGUUAAAAGCAAGUGGUAAUACAGUCUUGGAGUAGCUGCUGUAUUUAGUCAAUACAUGCAUAAAAGAUGAGAGAGCACUAAAGCAGGGGUCGGCAACCUAUGGCCCACGGGCCGGAUCCAGCCAACGGAGCCACAGCUCAAAUGAUGUUAAAUACAGUGGACCCCCGGUUAACGAUAUUUUUUCACUCCAGAAGUAUGUUCAGGUGCCAGUACUGACCGAAUUUGUUCCCAUAAGGAAUAUUGUGAAGUAGAUUAGUCCAUUUCAGACCCCCAAACAUACACGUACAAACACACUUACAUAAAUACACUUACAUAAUUGGUCGCAUUCGGAGGUAAUCGUUAUGCGGGGGUCCACUGUAUACAGUAUGUCAAAGUUUAGUAUGUAUUACUAUCUUUAUUAACUAUGGUGAUAGGUGUGGCAAGCCAUCUGCUCGCAGACAUGAGCUCUGGCCCCUAGGCAGAACAAGGUUGCCGACCCCUGCACUAAAGACUGGUAGAGCACUAUUCAUACAUAAUUAAUUUGUAUAAUGGGGAAAAGGGGCAAAAGAGAGCUUAAGAAUUACGGUGAAAUAAGCCUGAUAAAUAUACUGAUAAAAUAAAUGGUUGAAUUAUUACUGAGAGAGUUAAGGGUGAGAGAGAGAGAGUAUGGUUGCAGCAGAAUAAUAAUAAUUUAGGAAGGGUAGGGGAUAUGUAGACCAAGAGUUUACACAGAACAUAAGUGAACAAUACCUAGAUAAAAGGUAAGGAACAUUUUGUCACAUUAAUAGAUUUAGAAAAGGUAUAUGAUAAGGUGGAUAGGGGAGCACUAAGGCAAAUGUUGCAAAUGUACGGAAUAAGCAGUAGGUUACUAAAAGCUAAAAAGAGGCUUUAUGCAGAUACUGAGACUCAGGUUAGAGUAUGCUGGAGAGAGUGAUUAUUUUCCAAUAAAAGUAGGCCUUAGGUCAGGGAUGUGUGAUGUCACCAUGGUUGUUUAAUAUAUUUGCAGGUGGAGAAGUGAAUGUAAGGAUGAUAGGGAGAAGUGUAGGGGUUAAAAAGAUAAUAAAUUCAUUGCAAAGUAGGGGUUGUCACAGACAAGAAUGAAAAUGUGUCAUACUUUGAAGCAUCUGAGGAGAGAAAGAACUUUAUCCAUGGAGGCAAAAGGAAAAAUGUACCAGAGAAUACCAGUACAAAUAGUUAUACAGGUGUGAAGAAUGGACUUCAAAUGAUGUAUAAAGGAAGAGGUUGGAGGCAGUGGAGAUGUCAUGUUUGAGUUCAAGGUGUUGUGUAAAUUAUAUGCAGAGAAUUCAGAGUUUGGAGAUUACAAGAUGAUGUGGUGUUGCCAAAAGCAUAAUUCUGAGGGCUGAGGAGGGGUUGUUGAAGUGGUUUGGGAUGGAACAGAAUAGGAUGGCUAAGAUUUUACUGUCUAUAGACUGGGGUGGAAGGAAGAAGGAAUGGGGGUCAUCCCAGGAGGGAUUGGAGGGGAGGUGGUAAAGGUUUUGAGUGCUAAAGGCUUGAACAUCCAACAGGCUUGUAUGAGCAUGUUAGUUCAGACUGAGUGAAGAUAAGCUGUUUUCAUGGCCUGACAUGCUACUGAAGUGUGAGAAAGGUAACAUUUAUAGAGGGAUUCAGGAAAAUCAGUUAGCUGAUGGGAAAUACAGUGCCUUUAUUCUAAUGGAUGGGUGAGGAUGUUGCAGUUCUCAGGGUCAUCUAAACUGUAUCAAUACACCUCUGGUAAACCAGCAAGUGAGUGAAUGAAAGUGAACAAGGUCCUCAUCUUUAGGUCACCCAAACUCAGUGGGUGAUGGCCAGUGUUACACAAGUAAUUAGUACUGUAAAGAAUUUUAUUAAGUUGAAUAGUUAGGAUAAAGGAAAUCACCAAAUAACAAAGAACAUGAAUUUUAAGCAUUCGCAUAUAUCAAUGUGACACUAAGAAACAAUAAGUUGAUAAACAUCCAGUGAAACUUACUAGUAGGUUGGUGCCCUCCUGUACAGUACAAAUAUACAAGUGUAAACAUAUUAGGAAUGACAGCACAAGACAUAUGUGAUGGAUAUGUGGGGCAGUGGACCUCCAGCAGCAACAGCUAGGUUGACCAGGCUAGCACCAGACGAGCUUGGCCCAUGGCUGGGCUUCAAAAGUAGAAAGACUCUCGAAACUCAUUCAAGGUAAUUUACUGGUGAUGGUAAAGCAGCACUGGUACAUAAAUGCAUUAGAGUAAAUAGCUGAUAAACAAGUUAAUAGAGUUCAGUAAAUGGGAAUGAAAACUACAAGUAUUUGAAAGUUCCUAGGUAGAAAUUAGCUACGUCCAGUGACAAUGAUAUAUUGCAGACCAUUAAAUAUAUGGCAUAUGUAAAUGAAAUAAAUAAUACUGCUUAUGCACAUUUCAAAGUACAGUAUGCAUGUGUACUGUAUAGUCAGACCUACAUUUCUGAUUUUUGUGAUAAUCCAAAUUUGCGAGUUUU